Molecule: ribosomal RNA, 466 nt
Filed under: uncultured bacterium
Lineage: Bacteria
Description: partial 16S ribosomal RNA
Rfam family: Bacterial small subunit ribosomal RNA
Source: RNAcentral
GAUGAACGCUGGCGGCGUGCUUAACACGUGCAAGUCGAACGAUGAAGCCCAGCUUGCUGGGUGGAUUAGUGGCGAACGGGUGAGUAACACGUGAGUAACCUGCCCUUGACUCUGGGAUAAGCCUGGGAAACUGGGUCUAAUACUGGAUAUGACUUCUCAUCGCAUGGUGGGGGGUGGAGAGAUUUAUUGGUCUUGGAUGGACUCGCGGCCUAUCAGCUUGUUGGUGAGGUAAUGGCUCACCAAGGCGACGACGGGUAGCCGGCCUGAGAGGGUGACCGGCCACACUGGGACUGAGACACGGCCCAGACUCCUACGGGAGGCAGCAGUGGGGAAUAUUGCACAAUGGGCGCAAGCCUGAUGCAGCGACGCCGCGUGAGGGAUGACGGCCUUCGGGUUGUAAACCUCUUUCAGUAGGGAAGAAGCGAGAGUGACGGUACCUGCAGAAGAAGCGCCGGCUAACUACGUG